RNAcentral lists this ribosomal RNA (254 nucleotides) under uncultured bacterium. RNAcentral describes it as "partial 16S ribosomal RNA". It matches the Rfam family "Bacterial small subunit ribosomal RNA", at positions 524 to 776 of the family's 1533-position model. The record is from RNAcentral.
UACAGAGGUCUCAAGCGUUGUUCGGAUUCAUUGGGCGUAAAGGGUGCGUAGGCGGCGCGACAAGUUGGGUGUGAAAUCCCUCGGCUCAACCGAGGAACUGCGCCCAAAACUGUCGUGCUCGAGGGAGACAGAGGUGAGCGGAACUUAGGGUGGAGCGGUGAAAUGCGUUGAUAUCCUAAGGAACACCGGUGGCGAAAGCGGCUCACUGGGUCUCUUCUGACGCUGAGGCACGGAAAGCUAGGGUAGCGAACGGG